Molecule: ribosomal RNA, 468 nt
Filed under: uncultured bacterium
Lineage: Bacteria
Description: partial 16S ribosomal RNA
Rfam family: Bacterial small subunit ribosomal RNA
Source: RNAcentral
GACGAACGCUGGCGGCGUGCUUAACACAUGCAAGUCGAACGGAAAGGCCCUGCUUUUGUGGGGUGCUCGAGUGGCGAACGGGUGAGUAACACGUGAGUAACCUGCCCUUGACUUUGGGAUAACUUCAGGAAACUGGGGCUAAUACCGGAUAGGAGCUCCUGCUGCUUGGUGGGGGUUGGAAAGUUUCGGCGGUUGGGGAUGGACUCGCGGCUUAUCAGCUUGUUGGUGGGGUAGUGGCUUACCAAGGCUUUGACGGGUAGCCGGCCUGAGAGGGUGACCGGCCACAUUGGGACGGAGAUACGGCCCAGACUCGUACGGGAGGCAGAAGUGGGGAAUAUUGCACAAUGGGAGGAAGCCUGAUGCGACAACGCCGCGUGCGGGAAGACGGCCUUCGGGUUGUAAACCGCAUUCGCCUGUGACGAAGCGUGAGUGACGGUAAUGGGUAAAGAAGCACCGGCUAACUACGUG